RNAcentral lists this non-coding RNA (62 nucleotides) under unclassified sequences. The record is from RNAcentral.
ACCUUAAUGCGGCUCAUCAGUUUUUGAUGAACGGUCACAAGCCCGGCAACGCAGAGUGGGGA